RNAcentral lists this long non-coding RNA (21236 nucleotides) under Populus trichocarpa (black cottonwood). RNAcentral's name for it is "long non-coding RNA (PTRI_LNC004325)". The record is from RNAcentral. Lineage: Eukaryota; Viridiplantae; Streptophyta; Magnoliopsida; Malpighiales; Salicaceae.
AUCCUAGCAUUUAUGGUGAUGAUUUAAACUCCAAACUUCUCAAAGGCCACUAUCAGCAGGUCAUGGACCAGAGUUUAAACAGCACACAAGACCUCUUUCCUCCAUCUGAUAAAUCAUGGAUUGGAAAUUCUUCUACAUCUGCCAAUGAUCUUUACCCCAUCAAUCCGGAGUCCAUAAAUUUAAACAUCAGUGAAACCUCGUCUUUAAUUGAAUAAAGCCAAAGACAUGCUUGGAGCUUCGUUUGUAAUCAUAUAAUGAUCAAUAUUUAGACGUCUACACAACGUCUUGUUGCUUACCAUAUGUAAACGGUCUAUGGAAGCUAUCUCCGUGGUUGUGAGAAUUCAGAGCCCCAGACACUUUUCCUGACCAAUGAUUAUUACUUCCGAUUUAUGGAGAUGGAUAUUAUGAAUAUUUUUAAUAAAAUUUAAAUUUAAAGAAGGAAUCAGCUUGUUUUUGUAUGAGAUUCUUGAAUUUAAUAUGACUACAGACUCUUGAAUUAUAAAUAAAGAACUGUGUAUAAAGCUUGGGGGCCAAAAAGAAAUACACAAGACACGAGGCAUAGAUUAUGUCCUUUCUUGCCGAAUCAGCCCUUCCUCACAAACACAGCCCUCUCCACCGGCACCAUCAUCUUGCCUCCAUUCCUCUACCACAACCCAGCCACCCACAGUCACUUCCUCUCACCAAAACCUGCCGUAGCCAGCCAUUAACCCACACUGUAAACUCAUCUUCUCCACAAAUGGUGAUUUCUUAUCCAGUUUUACAUUCUAAACUUCAUUCGUAAUGUGGGGUGCGAAAUCGACAUUGAAAUUGAAAAAAUUACACUUUAUUAAAAAAUUUGGAAAAAUAAAAUAGAAGAGACUAUUGGAUAAGUAAUAAAAAAAAAUUACACUCACAAAAAAAAAUUACACUUUAUUGAGAGUGUUCAUCUGAUAAAAAAUUUACAUUCACAAAGUAUUUUCUGAAAAAUAACGAAACUAUUUUUUAUAAUACAUGCACAACCCACAGAUAGGUACGUAGACAAUUACAAUUAUUAAUUAUUAUUUUUUAUAAUAAAUGCACAAUCCACGUGUCACGAGACUUUUUUUGUGAUAUAAUAACAGUGUUCGUUUGAGAAAUAAAUUUGCUCACGGUGAUAAUGAAGGAAAAAAAACUUAAUAUACAAAGCAAAUGAUGGCAGAAGCAUUAAAAUCGAGGGCGGCUUUAUAAGAGAUACAGUUGGUGUUUUUAAAAGUUUUUUUUUUUAAUAUAUUAAAAUAAUAGUUUUUUAUUAAAUUUUUUUUGAUAUAAAUAUAUUAAAAUAUUAAAAAAUAUUAAUUUAAAAUAAAAAAAUAAAAAAAAAAUUUAAUUUUUUGAGUCUAUCAUAAACUCCAAAUAGCUUGUUGUCCUUUAGCACCUGGUGGAAAAGAGAUUCUACAUCAAUCACUAUUUGCAAAAAAGAAAAGAAAAAUUGAAGAGAACACACACAAAAAAAAAAAAAAAAGAAGGCAGAGGCCAGACCAGAGGGGGAGGAGGAGAAAACAGAGAAAGGAGGAGAAAAAAAGACGGAGCUAAAAAAAGAAGGCAGAGGAGAGAACAGAGGAGAAGAGAGAGGGGAGAGAGAUAUAAACCCAGCUUUGUCUUCGUCCCUGAACUCAAGCACAAUAGGCACACAAAACAGAGAAGCAGAGAACACACAAAACAGAGGCAGGGAAUAUUGGGUAGUCGUUGCGCGGUGGCCAUCCCUUUUCGCUCGUUCAUCUCCAGAACAAUCUCCAGACAAGGUAAGUUUUCAUCUCCCUUUCGUUCUUUUUUAAUCUUCUUUGCAUUUAGCACUGUGCGAAGGUAAUUAAUUACCUCCGCACUGUGACAUGCACGCGUGAACUUCACACGUAAUUUGUCCAGUCAGGUCACUGGUUUGGGCAAUGAUCAGAUUGGGCUGACUGGAUUUUCCCUAGUCAUAUGAAAUGGACCAAACCUGACUUAUUAAAAAAAAAUAGGUCGGGCUGAGCUUUAAGUCCAGCCUGUUUAAAUUGUGUUAAAAACACCCUUACAUUUUAUGCAUAUAUUUUAUCCCCUUUUAUGUUGAUAUUUGAUCAAAUAAGCUCCAUUUUAAUAUUAAAAAAUUUUAGAAAUAUUUGGAGAUUUUUGUUAAUUUAUUUGUGAGUCUCUCGUAUUUUGUUUUAUUUUUUUAUUUGUAUUUUUUAUUUUUUUACUAUGUGCUCAAUCCAUAAACUAUUAUUAUUAAACGCAAAUAUAUUGUGCAAUGUUUUUUUUAUUUUCAUCUAAAAAGAACAAAUAAUAAUAAAGGAUAAGCAAAAAGAAAAUGACAUAGAAAAAUUCUUCUUCAAAAUCAAUUUUUUGCAAAAUUAUUCACUAACGUCAGAGUUAUGAAUAUCGUAUUUGUUUGGGUUUGUGCAAUAUUUACCAAUGUCAUAAAUAAAAAUAUUCGUAUGAACUGUUCACUGACACUAGAGUCAGGAACAUGAGAGAAAGAAUAAAAAAAGAAAAAAAAGAAAGGGAGAACAAAUUCUUAGUAAUUUAAGAUAAAACAAGCAAUGUAGUUUGUCUCGGGUAGGACAUUUAAUAGGUGAUAAUAUCUUUCAUUUUACGUAAUUAGUCCCGUAUCAUAAAAUCUCUAUUGACCAGUUAGGAUUCCUAAUGACUAUAAUAUUAGGUAGCGACUCUUUGAACUAGACUUUUAUUUCUAAAGAAUAAGAUAUCAGAUAUCUGUUUCAUUGAGAUUAUUUUUAAUUAGUCGCCGUGAUGUUCAGGUAUGACAAGAAAACAAGAAUUUUUUAUUUUUUUAUGUUGAUCCAUUAGUAAUUAAAAAAUUAAAUAUAUAUAUUAUUAUCUUUGCAAAUUAUUUUAUACAAUACUAUUCUAUAGGGGUGAUCAUUUUCGGUUCGGUUCGGUUUUUAUCAAAAAAAAUAACCAAACCAAUUUUGUUUUUUUUAAAAAAAACCGAACCCGAACUGAAACCGGGUCAAACCGACCGUUUCGUUCGGUUCGGUUUUUUAGGGCAAAAACCGGUACAAACCGGUUUGGCUUGGUUUUUCCGGUUUCGCUCGGUUUUGGCUCAGUUUUCUCGGUUUUGGCUUGGUUCUUUCCAGUUUUGGCUCGAUUUUUUCGGGUUGGCUCGGUUUUUCCGGUUUGGCUCGGUUUUGUUUCUGGUUUUUUUCGGUUUCGGUUCGGUUUUUUUCUUAUAAAACCGAAUCGAAUCGAACCAGCUGGUUUUUUAAAAUUUUAAUUGGUUUAAUCGGUUUUUUUUUCGGUUCGGUUUUUUCGGUUUUUUUUUUUGUUUUCUCGGUUUAAUUAGUUUUUCAGUUUUUUUGCUCACCCCUACUAUUUUGAUCAAUAAAAUUUAAAAUGUUUUUGACUUCGCACAAACUUAAAAAUCAAUAAAAUUCAUCUCCUAAAAAUUAGGUUCAUUUAUAAGGCAUCUGAAUUUUUCAGCUCCUAGAAAGUUGUAAUUUUGUUUUGUAUCUAAUUCUUUUUCAAGAAAUGACAAACUCACUGUAGAAUUUGAACACGUGAUUCCUUUCUUUCAUUUGAUCAUACCACUUAAGAUACAUCUACCGGUACAAUUAACAAUAAAAUACUAUUUAUACAUAACAAAUUCUUGUCAUCAUUCACUUACUUAUAGUAAUAAUCCACCAUUCCCAAAAUAUAGUUUUUAAACACCAUCUUAUUGAGGAGUUAACCUGGCAAUCAAUCACUGCACCAUUUAACAAUUUUAUUGAUAUAAUUUUUUUUAUAAGCAUAAAAUUAUCAAUUUAUUGAUAAAAAUUUUACUGAUUAAUUUAUUAAUAGAAUAACAUUCAUCAAUAAUUUUAUUAUUUAUUACUAAUUCCAGUAAAAAAAAUUCAGUUUCUUUCUAAAAAUAUUUUUCAAACAUAAAAAUAAACCUGCUGCAAGUGUUAAACUGUCAAUUAUGCACCAACUAGCUAUAUAAUUGAGUCUAUCAUAAACUUCAAAUAAUAGCUUGUUGUCCUUUAGCACCUGGUGGAAAAGAGACUGGUCUCUGUCUACAUCAAUCAGUAUUUUAGCAUGUUCUUUAGCACCAGGUGGAAAAGAGAUUGGUCUGAAACAAUGUAAACAAGGAUAAAUCCUCUUUCUUUCUCUCUUUUCUGAGUGGAAUCUCUCUCGUUUCCAGUAUGUUCUUAGCAUGUUUCAAAGUUUCCAGUAUGUUCUUAGCAUGUUUCAAAAUAUCUGAGAGUUUUUCCCUGUCUGUCUCAUGUCGACAAAUAAAAAACUUGUUCGAGCUUUUGCAGCCAAUUUUGCAGCACAGGAUGCUAAUGAUGUUUCAGCUUUGCCAAGUUAUGGUGAUGAUUAGUUUCUCGAGCUCUAUUACUUUGCUUGCUUCUGAUCAGCUACAUCCAGGAGAAGGUAAGAGCAACCUAGCUACCUACUUAAUUAAGAACAACCUUCUGUAUUACUUUGUGUUCACAGUAAUAUAUAUUCAGAUCAGAUCAGUGAGGUCUUAUAAGUAUACAGCAAGUCUUUCAAACUUUUCAAGUCCUUGGUAAAUAUUGUGAAUUUUAUGAACAAAUAACUCAAUAUAUAGGCUCUUUAUGGUUAGAGAAGCCCAAAUUAUUUAUUUAUUAUUUAUUUUUUAAAAAGGAUUAUAUGUUUUCUUUUUAUUUAUUUAUUAUUAAUUUUUUGAAAAAAAAAUUAUGUUUAUUUUUUUUGUCUUUUGAGAUGAUUGUUUAUUUGUACGCGUCUGCUACACUUUUUAAUAGGUAUGUAAGGACAGUAAUUUAGCUAGUAUCUGGCUGUAAUUGUCAAGCUGGAUUGAUUGAGAUCCAAUCCAAUUUAGUUCAGGCAAUAUGCACCUUGACUCAAUAGUUUAUUACCAGAUUAUCAUCUCUCGUUACACUACAAUGCGAGUCGAAUGCAAAAAUUUUGAAUGUAAAGAAAUACCCACAAAUUACUAACAUGUUUUUUAAGGAAGAAAAAUUAAUCAUGUGGAAUUGAUUUAAUAUGAUCCGGUCUAAUAAAAAUAUAGUUUAACUUAAAAGAUUCAGGAUAAUAUUUUUUUUGUAAAUAUUGAGAAGAAAACAUAUUAGAUUAACUUGGAUCAACUCGGGUUAACUUGUUGAAUCUCCAUCCUAGGUCAUGAGACCGUGAUAACCCCAUAAAAAGCAAAUUAGAAAAAAAAUGAAGCUCAAUUCUUAAUCAACCUAAUGUUGAAGGAUGAAAUUGAAAAUAAAAUUUAAUAAAAAAAAAACAACUUGAGUUAACCUGGAUUAACCUAUUGAACUUGAGUCAUAAGACCGGAUAACCUCAUAGAAAGAAAAUUGAAAAAAAUUAUUAAGAUCAAUUCUCAAUAUUGAAGAAUGUAAUUAAACAAAAUUCAAUUAAAAAAAAGAAAAGCAAAAUCCAAGACACAUGUCAUGAGGUCAUGAUAACCCUAUAGAAAGUAAAUAGAAAAAAAUUAUAUAUUCCAACUUCUAAUAAAUUCAAUGUUGGAGGAUAAAUUUUUUUUUAAAAAAAUGAUUUGAGUCAACUCGAGUUAACCUUCCAAACUUAUGUCACGAGGUUAGAAUAACUUCAUAAAAAAAUAAAACAAAUUAUGAAAUUUAAUUUCUAUUAACUCAAUGUUGAUGGAGAAACUGGAAAAAAAUAUUCAAUUAUAAAAUAACAAAAAAAUCAAGUUAAUCAAAUUAAUUUGCAAAACCUAUGAUAUAGAUCAUGAGAAUAAAAUAACUCCAUAGAAAAAAAUUAAUUUUUUUUUUAUAAAACUCAAUCUCUAAUAAAUCUAAUAUUAAGAGAUAAAAUUAAAAUUAUAUAUAAGAAAAAAACAAAUCAUUAUUUCAAUUAAAAUUGAUUCGUGAGGAGAGGUUAGUGAAAUACCCUUGUUUUUUUCAGUUCUUAUUAAUUAUUAUUAUAUAAAAUAAUAUGAAUAUAUAACUUUCACAAAUAAAGUUUACUAAUUGUAUUUCUUGCAUUAAACUUCAAGUGAUUAAUCAGUUAAAUGUUGAAAGAUGAAAUUAAAAUAAAAAUUUAAUAACAAAAAAAAAACAACUUGAGUCAACUUGAAUUAACCUGUCGAACUUGAGUUAUGAGACCGGAUAACUUCAUAAAAAGUAAAUUGAGAAAAAUUAUAAAGAUCAAUUCUCAAUAUUGAAUGAUGUAAUUAAAGAAAAGAAAUUCAAUUAAAAAAAAAGAGAAGUAAAAUCCAAGACAUAUGUCAUAAGGCCAUGAUAACCCUAUAGAAAGCAAAUAGAAAAAUAAUUAUGAAUUUCACUUCCUAAUAAAUUCAAUAUUGGAGGAUAAAAUAAUAAAAAAAAACUUGAGCCAAUUCGAGUUAACCUUCUAAACUUGUAUCAUAAGGUUAGGAAAACUUCAUAAAAAAAUAAAACAAAUUAUGAAAUAUAAUUUCAAUUAACUAAAUGUUAAUGAAGAUACUGAAAAAAAUAUUUAAUUAAAAAAAUAAUAAAAAAAUCAAGUUAAUCAAAUUAAUCUGCAAAACCUAUGAUCCAGAUUAUGAGAAUAAAAUAACCCCAUAGAAAAAAAUUAAUUUUUUUUAUAAAACUUAAUUUCUAAUAAAUUUAAUGUUGAAAGAUAAAAUUAAAAUUAUAUGUAUAAAAAAGAAAAACAAAUUAUUAUUCCAAUUAACAAUGAUUUGUGAGGAGAGGUUAGUCAAAUUACCCUCAUUUUUUUUAAUUCUUUUUAGUUAUUAUUAUAUAAAAUAAUAUGAAUAUAUAACUUUUAUAAAUAAAAUUUACUAAUUGUAUUUCUUGGAAUAAACUUCAAGAGACUCGCACAAUUAAACAACAUUAACCAAAACUUUGCAAAUGCUUGAAAAACAGUAAAACAUUUCUUUGGCCGUUUAUAAGACAAAAUAGCUUCUAUGGGUGUUUUGUUUUAUAUAAUUAGAUUCAUUUAUAGGCAUCUGAUUUUUUUAGCAACCUAAAAAGUUGUGAUUUUGUUUUGUAUCUAAUUCUUUUUCAAGAAAUGACAAACUCAUUGUAGAAUUUGAUCUCAUGAUUUCUUUCUUUCGUUUGAUCAUACCAAUUAAGAUACAUCUACCGGUACAAAUAACAAUAAAAUAAUAUUUAUACAUAACAAAUUCUUAUCAUCAUAUAGUAAUAAUCCACCAAUCCCACAAUAUAGUUUUUAAACUUAACAAUCAAUUUAUAGUUUAAAUUAAAUUGCAUUUAAUUUUAAAUUGAUUUAAUAGUUAAUAUAAUUAAAUCUAGUUAAUCCAAUUGAGUUAACAAAUAAUAUUUUGUUUUUCAUUUUCGUUUAAAAUAAUAUCGUUUUAGAGUUAACCUGCAAUCAAUCUAGAGUUUGAUUUAGACUAUGUAAUAUUUUAAAUUAAUUUAAAAAAUUUAAAAAUUAAUAUAGUUAAAUCUAGUUAACCCAAUUGAGUUAACAAAUAAUAUUUUUAUUUUUAUUUUUAUUUAAAAUAAUAUCAUUUUAGAUUAUUUUUUUAAUUGCAAAUAAUUUCAUUAAAAAUAAACCUGAAAAGAAUGUAAUCUUAAGGUUUCCUAAACUGUGACCAAUGAUGUCUCUUUCUCCUGCUUGCAAUAAAGCCAGCUCAAAGAUUACAGUCUUCCAGGCAGGCUUCCUCCGGAAUUGGCCAACCUUACUUAUGUCCAAAAAAUGUAAGAACCCUUAAUUAAGGACAUAUAUAUUUGGCUCAUGUUUCUGCUUCGAGGCCUCAAUUCUGAAUCCAUUAAAUGAUUAUGAAUCUUGAGAUGCCUCGAUGAUAGUUAAUACUCAUCAGAUGUUAUGUGAUUAUGAGUUUGCCAUUGUCUGUCACAGUUUAUAUAGAAAUUUCAAGCGUUUAUAUUAAUUUUUGGAGCAAUUUUCAAGAUGGAAAAUAAUUUUUAUACAACAACAUUGUCUAUGACAGAGAUUUCACUCGCAACUAUCUAUACGGCACAAUUCCGGUGGAAUGGGCUUCGAUGAAAAAUCUGUCUUUCAUGUAAGCUCAUUAAUAAAUUCACCCCUCUUCUUGGUUUAUCUUAUUUUCUAUGUAAGAGUGAGCUUAAAACUUCCUUCCUAACUAACCUCUUAUGCAGCUCGCUUACUGCAAAUCGCUUGUCAGGAAAUAUUCCUGGACAUUUGGGAAGUUUUACUGCCCUCACCUACUUGUAUGGCUUGAAUCUGUUAUAGUGCUCUACCUCUAGUUUGAGUUAUUCGAAUAUUGCAAGCAAUGCUAGUUUACUUUGUUCUCCAAUGGUUAUUUCACUUUAUCAAAUGCAAUUAUAAAAUAUAGGAGCCUUGAAUCAAAUCAGUUUUCUGGUGUUGUCCCACCUGAGCUUGGCAAGCUUGUCAACUUAAAAUCUCUGUAAGAAAUUUUAACUAAAUUCUUCAUUAUGAAGACUUGCUAGAGAUUUCGUUUUCAUUAGUUGAAAUCUUUGCUUUGAUGCCGUGAAUUAACAAUUGCAGGAUACUCUCCGGCAAUAAGUUAGUGGGGACCUUGCCAGAGGCACUUGCGCAGAUAAAAGACUUGAAGGAUUUGUAAGCCCUCACUUAUUUUCCUUGAACACAAUUUUUUUUUUUUUUUUUGAUAAUUUAACUUAUUCAAUGUGCAGUCGCGUAAGUGAUAAUAAUCUUAAUGGCACUGUACCCGAGUUCAUUGGGAACUGGACUCAACUUCAAAAGCUGUGAGAUGUUUAUCUUCACAAGAACUUAAUUCAUUCUAAUGCAACAUGAUACACUUUAUUGAGAUUUUUUGUUCUUUUCGUGACUAAUGAAGUGAAUUGUACGCGACUGGAUUGCAAGGACCUAUACCUCUUCCGAUUUUUCAUUUGGAAAAGUUGUCUGAUUUGUGAGUAAAACCACUUUCUUGUGCUGCAUACCUCCUGCUGUAUUAAUUAUUGAAGAAUUCUCUUUGUGUGUGAGAGAUAGGGAGAGAUAAAUGAAGGGAAUUGAACAUUUAACUUGUAUUCAAGGUCUCUUACUGUUAUGCAGGAGGAUUGCUGAUAUGCCUGGACCAGAGUUUCAGUUACCUAACUCGCCGAUUGAAAGGCAAUUCUUGUAUGUGAACUGCUUCAUAACUUUUCACAGUAAAGUUGAGGAUUUGUUCUGUUCAGAGCUGUUUAACCAACCUGUAACUUGUUGUCAGGGUUCUGAGAAACAUCAAUUUAACUGGAACAAUCCCAGAAAACGCAUGGAAAGUGGAAAAAACACUGUAAGUGUGAACUUCACUCAUCGCCUUACAUCUGCUGCUAAGCAACAUAGAAUUUCUUUUUAUACAUUUCAAUUCUGCCACAUUUUCCAUUAUGAUCUCCAAGUACAGCUGGUGCGUGGGAUCUGCCUGAAUCAUCAGGUCGUUAGGAUAAGUUAAAAAUCCUACAUUAAUAUAUAAUCCUGGGUAUAUAAUAACUAAAGUCCUACUAGAGUGAGUAGUAGAAUCACAACUAGCUUCUAACAUAACAUUGACUUAUUUUCACAACCGAUGAGCUCCUAUGAGAAGGUAGUGAUUUCAAGCAACUGCAACUCUCCAAGGAAGAAUAUAAAUAGAGGAUUACUUCAAAGAAUUUAAUAACCUUUAAUUAUGAGACACACACACACACACACACAUAUAUUCACCUGUUUAUUGCCAUUAUAUUUACAAAGAUGUAAAAUCUUCUUCAGAGACUGAAGCCUAAAAUUUUGUUUGCUGUAAUUUCUUGCAGCGACUUAAAUUUUAACAAGUUGGUUGGGGAGAUUCCUCCUAAUACAAUACGACGAAGACAGUUUACGUGAGCAAUGCUAAAGUCUGAUAAUUUGAAAUUUGGUUAUUGAAAUCUUAUCAAGGAUGGCGCAAUAAAUUAUUCUGAAAGUAUGAGUGUGGUUCUUACCAGGUUUUUGAGUGGCAACAAGCUGACUGGAACAGUGCAAGACUCAUUCCUCCAAAAUAGCCCAAAUCUGUAGGUUCCUAAAUUACACCCAUCAUUGGAUUCAGUACUUAAUUUCUAUGGGUGAUUUUAUUGGGAAAAAAUAAAUAGUCAAAAAAUCAUUAAUUAUCACUGCAUUGAAAAGUAAACACUAACAAUCUAUCGAUGCGUAUGUUACUGAAAGACUCACAGAUAGAAAUGGUCUAUCGAAAAAACUAUUGUCGGUAAUUUAUAGAUUGUCGGUGAGUCUAUCGCUAAUAAAUAUAUCGAUGAAUUUACAGACGGACAAAGCAUAUCAAUUUUUCUUUUUACGAUCGAAUACAAUAAAUCUAAAAUAAAGACGACAGUGGAUGAGGAGGAGGAGGAGGAGGAGGUAGGUUGUCACCAGGAACGUAAGGGCAAUUAAGGGGUGCACAUGAACUAGGGGUAAUCAUUUUCGGUUAAGUUCAGUUUCUACAUAUAAAAACAAUCAAACUGAAAUUUUGUAAAAGAAAAAAAAAAAAAUCGAACCGAGACCGGUCUCGGUUCAUUUUGGUUAUUUUAAGUUAAAAACUGAAACUAAAAUGAUCAGUUUCGGUUCAAUUUGAUUUGAUUCAAUUUCGGUUCGGUUCGGUUAUUUGAUAUUAAAAACUGAAAAUUAUAUUGUUUUUUUGGACUUUCUAAUGAGUUUUUUCGGUUCAGUUCGGUUUUUGGCUUGGUUUGGUUUAUUUCUUAACUAAACUGGUUCGAUUCAGUUUUUUAAUUUCAAGCUUAUGAAGCUGAAACCAAACCAAAUUUUUUUAAAAAAUAUUCUAAUCGAUGUAAUCAGUUUUUUUCAGGCUUCGGUUUUUUUGGUUGUUUGUUUUCUAGUUUUCCCGGUUUAAUGAGUUCGUUGGUUUUUUUGCUCACUCCUAACAUAAACCAUCCAUCUGUGAUUUCAUCUCCAUUACCAAUCAACAAAAUUCUCCAUAACCAGUAGUGAGUCAUCAUAUUUAUCAUUAAGAUAAGUUGUCCGAUCUUGUACCUGUUGGUCUAACAUCACUACGAACUCCAGAGUUUGAUUGCUUAGAAUUGAUUGCGAGCAUCCAAAAGUAUUACAGGUCAUUCAUAAAUUCUCAGUCAUAGUGUUAGAGAGUCCAUACACUCGAUUUCUAUUAGGUUCACCAAAUGAUUCUCCCUCCAACCACAAAUCCGGACCGAUAUCCAAAUGGGUUGAAGGCUCAUCCUUGUAUCUCUCCUUCAACCGGCUGUUAUAUGUAUCCUAUAAAGAAAAAAUAAAUUCAUCAAAUUCAAGGACAUAAUAACUUAAGAAAAAAAUAAUUAAAAACCAACAUACCACAAAAUAUUGAGUUCGGCUAUCAACGAACUGUUGCACCCUUUUUUGACGGUCUUCACUCCACACAUGCAUUUUAACAAAAAGUUUCAUCAAACUUGGCUCACAUACAAAAACUAUAGCAUGCAAUAAAAAAAUGUUGUCAAUUCAAUAUAUUUAUAAAAAACAACUAAGAAAAAAAUGGAUGUGGUAAAAAAAAUCCUAUCAUCAAAUGAAAGCGAGUGCAUUUCUAGCGCUUGCAUCGUGAAGUUUAUAUAUUCUCUUUAUUUGUUAUCCUUGUGGAAGUUUGUAUUUAGAUUUAUGGUUUUCUUGAUCUUUUCCAGCGAUGUUUCGUACAAUAACUUUUCACGGUCACCAAGAUGCAGCAGCAGUAACGAGUAAGGAUGUUCAUAAAUAUUUGAAAUGGGAUAUUCUUGGUGAUUUUGAAACUGAAUGAUUUGAGUUUAUAAACCAGGAAUAAUAUAAACUGGUUUCGAAGCUCGUCCAGCAAUAAUAAAUUGUAAGGCUCUUCUUUUAUACUCUGUGGACUGCAAUGUUUUUCGUAUUUAUAUUUCUGUAGAUGAAAUUUAGCAAUAGAGAUUCUGCUGUAUGUGAUUUCAAAAAAUCCCACAGGGUCAAAAGAAUUACUAGCAAGAUCUUGUACCUAUUUGCGAUAACAGCAUACGCUAUCAUGAGUACAGAGUUGCAGAGACAGAUACAAUUACUUCAGAUGAACGUGGAAUUCAGACAAAACAUAUUUUAAUAUUGUAACUAAAUAAUAAACUAUACUACAUCUUUAAAUACUACCUAAGCAGAAUAGAUAGAUAUCCAGAAUUAAUUUAUGCUCAGAGUAUAAUGCAUAUCAUUUUUUCAAAGAGCAAACACAUCUUGAAUAUUUUCCUUGUGUGAUACAAUUGUUUUUAAGCAUGUUCUGAUUCUGAUUCCGAGGCUUUUUUCUGAUACCAGAUUUUUAGAAUUCAAUCUACAAAACCAUUUAUUAUUCUAACAAACUAUAAUUUCCAUGAUAUACAGAAGCGAUCUUCUUCCAUGCUCAGGGAUAUCUCGGUGCCCAAAAUGUAUGUUUUUAUUUACUUAUUUUCAUAAUAAGAACUUGUGCACUUCAUAAAAUCCGAGUGUGCCAUUAAAGUUUAUCGAAGUACCAUAUUUAUUUGUGUACUUCAAUGUUUGAAUGACAUUGAUGAUUGUUAGCUAGCUUUUUAAUUAGAUUCUAUCUCGAAAAACUAAUAAGGUCACUUUGUUGGAAAAUUUAUACAUCAAAACGUGGUUUGAAGUAGAACUUGACCACUGGUUUCACCGUCAGAAACCAAAAGUUGACAGAAGGAAUUCAUUGAGUUGAAUUAAUCUGACAAUGGCAAGCCACUUGAUGAAGUGUUGACCAGUGACUAAUCAUAGUUUUGAAGCUUUGUAGUAAAGUAAACUCAUUCCCCAUUGAUAUGCUUCUAUAAGUAUGACAAAACGGAAAAUUGAAACAUGUCUGAUGGUAUGCUAGUUUUAUGUGCUGCAGAUUAUCGUUCAUUCCAUAUAAACUGUGGUGGACAAGAUGUAAAGAAUGGGAAAAUCUUGUAUGAAGGUGAUCAAGAUAGUGGAAGUAAUGCUGCUGCAAGGUGUUAUAAUAGAUCAGGAUCAAACUGGGGAUUCAGCAGCACAGGAGAUUUCAUGGAUGAUGAAAAUUUCUAUGAUAACAAAUAUACGCUUCAAUCAAAUGCUAAUAUUUCUCUAGUUGACUUUGGAUUGUAUGCAACAGCACGUAAAACUCCCCUGUCUAUCACUUAUUAUGGAUAUUGUCUAGAAAAUGGGAAUUACACUGUCAGACUCCACUUUGCUGAGAUACAAUUCACAGAUGAAAAACUGUACAACAAAGUUGCAAGGCGCGUUUUUGAUAUUUACAUUCAGGUAAUUAAUUAUCUUUUCCUUCCAAAGAUAUUGUGGAUGUCUUUUUUUCUUUUCGUUUUCAAAGGAACCCUUUUGAGUAGGAAACUUUGUUCCAGGGAAUACAAGUGCGAAAGGAUUUUAACUUUACAAAGGCAGUCCAGGGAUCGAACAGAAGUUUCACAAGAGCAUUCAACACCACCGUGACAGACCGUACACUGGAGAUCCGAUUAUACUGGGCUGGAAAAGGCACUACUGUCAUUCCAAUAAGAGGAAAUUAUGGUCCUAUAAUUUCUGCUAUAUCCGUAUGUUCAGGUAUGUUGCAUGUUCUUUUUCUGCCUCAUUUGAAACUUAAAAGACUUCAAGGAGUUUAAUUUAUACAAUAGAAGGACACCAUUGAAUUCAUUUCUAUUUCAAUUUUCUGAGCUUUCUGGGGUUUUUUUGUCCCUCCCCUAACUGAUAAGAUUAAACACAUUUAAUGUUUCCCAUAAACCAAUCUGCAUAAGUGAUUAGCCUGAUUUUUGUUGUCACUGUAACUGUAAGCUUCUUCCACUCACUUCAUUAUCCCAUCUAAGAAUCUUUCCGUGAUCUGUGGUUUUUCAGGUUACAGAACUUAUUGUGAAGGUGAGAAUUGAACUGUGCUAUAGUGGUCGUGUGUCUUUACAGCGUUAAUGUUUAUUAUCCAUUUGAUGGGAUGUUUAGCCUUCUUUGCGUUUGCAAUUUUAUUUAAUAUCAGAACCUGAGGAAACAAGUAAGAAACCUAUUGUGAUCGGAGUUGUCACUUCAGCAGUAUUCCUUAUUUUCUUGGUAAUGGGUGUCAUUUAUUGGAAGCUCUGCUAUGGAGACAAAUACACCAGAGAACGAGGUAUUGUAAAAUCAGUCAUUUCCGCACACUGAGUCUACUCUUAAUUUUCUAAAUAAUGGCGAAUCACACUAAAGAAUGCGCGUAGUGCAUGGAUAUAUGAUUUUCAUGGAUUUGUAUUAUUUCACGAUAUGUCUCCUGACUGUCAUCCUCCCAUACCAACUGCUACGUGCAGAGCUUAAAGGGCUGGAUUUGAAAACUGGUUCCUUCACCUUGAGGCAGCUAAAAGCGGCCACUGACAAUUUCAAUUCAGAAAACAAGAUUGGAGAGGGUGGUUUUGGAUCCGUAUACAAGGUUUGUCAUCUAAUGAAUUUUUCAUAUUAUCACAAUUUUAUUAUUGGAAUCAUGCAUGGGUGAAUCCGCCCCAAAAACACUAUAGCAUUUAGACGCGUGAUUGACUUCCAAUGCAGGGUGAAUUAGCAGAUGGUACUAUUAUUGCUGUUAAGCAGCUAUCUCCAAAAUCCAGGCAAGGAAACCGUGAAUUUGUGAACGAAAUAGGCAUUAUAUCUUGUUUACAGCAUCUGAUCUGGGACGAUCGUUGGUUGACACCUGGACUAGCCAUGCAGAGAAGCCAUGCAGAUAAGCCAUGAGAAGAAUCAGUCUAGGCAAGAGUAAUUCUCGGCACGAGAUUAGCCUAGUUGGUUAGUAUCCCACGUCCCCAUACAGUGGAGAAAGAUAGUGGAGAAAGACUAGUUCCAUAGGAAUGAGUCAACCUGAUUUGGUGGGAUUGCCCACUAUAGUAAGCCUAGACUCUAUAUAUAGAGAUAGGGAACCCACGUAAAAGGGGAUGUAAUCAGUGAAGUAUUCACAUAGCAAGUAUCAAAUAAAAUCCUUUGUUCUUGCAAAUUGAUUCUGUGUUAUCGUUUUUCUUUUGUUUCAUAGUGGUUGAACAGAUCAAGUUGGUAUCAGAGCAAUCGUUCCUCCCUGUGGAAAAACUUUUAGUUAAUGGUGCUGACCAAGUCUGGAUAUCAGACAAUUGGUGAACCCCUCUCUGUUUUGCAGUCCCAUCGACGUUCAACAAGGAAGGCCACAACACCAUCAAGCAUGUCAAGCGAAGAAGAAGAAGUUACACCGGAUCAGUCUAACCUUUCAGACAAGGUUGAUAGGCUGACCACGCAACUAGAAGCUGUUCUAAAAUGGAUUCAAUCUCAACCAUCAUCAUCGGCAUCACCAGGACUGAAGAAUGUUGAUGACGGCAUUUCUCCUCCAAGAGCUCGUCUGACGACUGAAAAGGAAAAGAGCCAGGAUGAAGAUGCCCACCCUCGAUUCGUCACUGGCAUACGACCUCAACCUUUUAAAGUUGAAGCCAGGAUAGACAUACCAACAUUCGACGGCACCAUAGAUGCAGAGAAGCUAGAUUCUUGGGUGGAUCAGUUGGAGACUUAUUUCACACUUUAUGGUUUCAGUAGUGGUGAGAAGGUUGCAUUCGCAAGAUUGAAAUUAACCAGCCAUGCAUUGGCCUGGUGGAAUGCAUUCUUGAAGAAUAACGAUGAUAGAGAGAUAAGUUGGAAGGAAUUUACUCAACUCUUGCAACAGGAAUUCUACCCAAUGGGAUAUGUUCAAGAUCGCUGGACACGAUGGCACAAUUUGCGACAGAGGCAGAAUCAAUCGGUGCAAGAAUACACCACCGAAUUCCGCAGACUAGCAGUUACACUGGGAAUUGGACUGGACCACGAAGAUGUCUUCACGAAAUUUGUGGCUGGCUUAUGGCAGCACAUUCAAAAUGAAUUACGGCUAUAUCAGGCCGUUAAUAUCUCUGCUGCCAGUAGCAUUGCUAUGGCUAUCGAACAGAAGAAUAAACCUCGUGGGCAACGUCCUACCGACAAUGACAAGGAGAGAAACAGUGGCAACCACAAUUUUAAGAAGUUCACACAAGGUAACCCCUCAUCUGUAUCCAAAUCUACUAAGUUUUGUGAGCAUUGUAGAGUUUCGGGGCAUGACAAAGCGACGUGCUGGAAACUACGUCCUGACCUUUUUCCUACAAAAUGGAAAAAGGACGACAAGGGCAAGCGCACAAUGACAACAACAAUCCUCAAUGAUCACAUUGAACUCGGCCAGAUGGAGGAAGCGGAUAUGAGUUUGUCUUUGAUGGCAAUGCCGAAGGAGACAACCUCAAAUCUGUUAACCCCCCCUGAUGAGAAGGAGGAGCUUUUUACCCUACGAAUUCAAGUGAAGCAAGAGAUCAUUGAUGCAAUCGUUGACACUGGCAGUCAAAAGAAUUUGAUCUCGGCCAGUUUGGUUCAAAAAUUGGGACUUGAGACAAAUCCACAUCCUAAACCAUAUCCACUUGGAUGGAUACAAAAGGACGUGGAACUCAAGAUUGAUCGGCAGUGCAGAUUUCGUUUUGCUAUCACUAGUCAAUAUAUUGAUGAGGUAACCUGUGAAGUAGUCCCUUUGGAUAUUUGUCAAGUGAUUUUUGGCAAUCCAUAUUUGUGGGAACGAGAUGCUAUUUACCACUGACGGGCUCAACAAUAUCAUCUUGUGAAAGAUGGGAAGACGUACAUUGUCCACAAAGAUCGAUCAUCUCAAAAGGCAGACUUAGUCACUGCCUGCCAGGCGAGAAGAAUGAUAAAUGCAUCUCAGAAGUUUGUCCUCAUGAUGAUUCGACCACUAACAGAUGAAGUCACACCUUCUCGUUUCACACUAUCAUGUAAGGCAAUAGACAACAAGUUGAAUGAGUUACUUAACAAGUAUACAAACUUGUUUGCGGAAGUAGGCAGACUUCCUCCCAAACGGGCAAUUGAGCAUGAAAUUCAACUCAUUUCAGACUCCACAUUGCCUAAUAUUUGCAUGUAUCGCAAUUCAGUACUGGAGAAUGAGGAGAUCAAAAAACAAGUAACUGAGUUGCUGGACACGGGUGUUAUUAAACCCAGCAGUUCCCCUUGCGGCUCACCAAUUGUGCUUGUUCCGAAGAAAGAUGGAGGAUGGCGGAUGUGUAUCGAUUACAGAGCACUUAACAAAAUUACUGUUAAGAACCGAUACCCUCUUCCCCGUAUUGAUGAUCUAUUGGAUCAACUACGUCAUGCUACCAUCUUUACCAAGCUUGAUCUGAAAUCGGGGUAUCAUCAAGUUCCAAUUCGCAAGGAGGAUUCCUGGAAGACAGCAUUCAAAACACGACAAGGAUUAUUUGAAUGGUUGGUCAUGCCAUUCGGUCUUUGCAAUGCCCCAGCAACAUUUAUGCGACUCAUGAAUGAUGUUCUCCGGCCCUUCAUUGAUCACUUUGUCAUCGUCUAUCUCGAUGAUAUCUUGAUCUACAGUUGCUCUUUGGAGGAACAUCUCGUACAUGUGCAACAGGUAUUUGCCGUCCUAGAAGAACAUCACUUGCGCCUAAACCGCAAGAAAUGUGAGUUUGGAAAAAAAACCUUAAUUUAUCUUGGAUUCAUCGUGGGUGGCGGUGAAUUGCAAGUUGAUCCUGCUAAGGUUCAAGUGAUCACGGAAUGGCCACGACCUCGUACGGUCACAGACGUCCGAAGCUUUAUGGGUGCAUGCCAAUACCUUCGUAAGUUCAUUCAAAAUUUCUCUCUUCUGGCGUCUCCUCUCCAUUCCUUGACUAAGGCCAACCAAGCCUUUGUUUGGACUAAGGCACAUGAGGACACGUUCCAAUUAUUGAAGAGGAAGAUAAGCGAAGCGCCAGUUCUUGCCUUGCCGGAUUUACAAAAACCCUUCGAGAUUGAGGGGGAUGCAUCAGGAUAUGCAAUGGGAGCCGUUUUGAUGCAAGGAGGACGACCAGUAGCCUACCAUUCAGAGAUGUUUCAAGGCGCUGCAAAGAACUAUCCAACAUAUGACAAAGAGCUCCUAGCACUACACCAAGCAGUGAAACAUUGGCGUGUUUAUCUUCUGGGCAAAGAAACGGUGGUCCACACAGACCAUCAGCCAUUACAGUACUUACAGUCACAAGCUCGAUUACAACAAGCCCGACACAUGAAAUGGAUGACAUACCUACAACAAUUUCACUUGGUGAUAAAGUACAAGAAAGGCAGCCAUAACAAGUUGGCAGAUAUGUUGUCACGACCUCCAGUGACAGCAAUUUGUUUAUCAGUUUUUAUGCAAGUGCAUCCGGCUUUACAUGAGGAGUAUGUUGAUUGGUAUAAAGAAGAUCCUGACUUUCAAAGCACAUGGGAAGAGGUGCUGUCUAGUAGACCGUCAGAGUUCAUGCUACGAGAUGGCCUUCUAUACAAAGGGAAACUCUUAUGCAUACCCCGAUCGGAUGAAAGGGUGAGAUACAUACGGGAGGCACACACAUCCAAAAUUGCUGGUCAUUUUGGGGUCACAAAAACAUUACAAAAUUUGUCUCGUUAUGUUUUCUGGCCCCGGAUUCAACAUGAUGUGGCUCGUUUCAUAAGAGGGUGUGUACUGUGUAGCACAUCUAAACCUGCUAAUCGUAAGGUGGGAUUGUAUACCCCACUACCUGUUCCGACACGCCCAUGGGAGAGUAUUUCUAUGGAUUUCUUGGGAGGCCUUCCAAUGACCCGGCGAGGUAAUGACUAUCUAUUUGUGGUGGUCGAUCGAUUCUCCAAAAUGGUGGUACUCAUGCCCUGCAAAAAGACGAUCACCAGUGAUGGAGCAGCACGCCUCUUCUUUGAAAAUGUAUGGAAAUUAUUUGGUCUCCCUAACUCGAUUAUAUCUGAUCGAGACAGCCGGUUUUUAAGCAAAUUUUGGUGUGCUUUAUGGGCCAUGAUGGACACUAAGUUGAAAAGAAGUACCGCAUUCCAUCCUCAGACUGACGGACAAACCGAAGUGGUGAAUAGGACUGUUGUUCACCUUCUACGAGGAUACAAUGCUCGUCACCCCAAAACUUGGGAUGAAAGCAUUCCCUUCCUGCAGUUUGCCAUUAAUCAUGCCGUACAUGGUUCAACAAACAAGUCUCCCGCAGAAGUGUGUUUGGGUUUCUUGCCACAGAGCCCUUUUGACUUGGAAUUCACAAUUGAAUCAAACUCUGCAUUAGAUAAAGGGGAAGGCGAGAGGUUACGAGCACAACGGUUUGUGGAUCAAAUUAGGAAGAUACAUUCGGAAGUGGAGCAGCAGCUCACAAAGGCUCAACAAAAGUAUAAAGAGCGUCAUGACAGACAUCGCGUCCAAGGUCAUUUCCAAGAAGGUGACCUUGUUUGGUUGCACCUGGGCAAAGACCGACUGCGUGGAGUCGGAAAGAAACUCAAGCCAAUCCGUUAUGGACCAUUCAAAAUCCUUCGUAAGAUUGGUGAUAAUGCGUGUCAAUUGGAGUUACCAGCUUACAUGGAGAUGUAUUCUGUGGUCAACGUUGACAAAUUGAAACUCUUUGAGCCUUCCAUGCUGGACGAUGAGCCCGAUGGAACUCUACCUACGGUGGAAGAUUUAGUAACUGAACAGGAAAUCAUCCUAUCUGAAGAUACUAUCGUGGAAAGGAAAACAACUACCACUCGACGUGGUGAAAGAGAAUCUUUCCGCAUUGGCAGUAAAGGUCAACGUCCAAGUAAGGCAAAAUGGUUCUCCCGGGAAACUGGCCAAGCUCAGUUUCCUCACCUCCAAUUCUAGAACCAGCAGGAGCUGGCUCGUCCUAACAAGGGGAGUCAUGAUCUGGGACGAUCGUUGGUUGACACCUGGACUAGCCAUGCAGAGAAGCCAUGCAGAUAAGCCAUGAGAAGAAUCAGUCUAGGCAAGAGUAAUUCUCGGCACGAGAUUAGCCUAGUUGGUUAGUAUCCCACGUCCCCAUACAGUGGAGAAAGAUAGUGGAGAAAGACUAGUUCCAUAGGAAUGAGUCAACCUGAUUUGGUGGGAUUGCCCACUAUAGUAAGCCUAGACUCUAUAUAUAGAGAUAGGGAACCCACGUAAAAGGGGAUGUAAUCAGUGAAGUAUUCACAUAGCAAGUAUCAAAUAAAAUCCUUUGUUCUUGCAAAUUGAUUCUGUGUUAUCGUUUUUCUUUUGUUUCAUAGUGGUUGAACAGAUCAGCAUCCCAAUCUUGUAAGGCUUUAUGGAUGCUGUAUUGAAGGAGACCAGUUGCUUCUGGUGUACGAGUACAUGGAAAACAACUCCCUCUCUCGUGCACUUUUCGGUAACCAUAGUAGCAUUUGUUGAUAAAUUUUCAGUAAAAUAUAUAUUUUUUAUAACACUGCAUCAACUAGCAAACAUGAUCUUAUCAACAAUCCUAUUAGGAGCAGGUUCCGAAACAAGUGCUCUGAUGUUGGAUUGGACUACAAGGUAUAAGAUAUGUGUUGGAAUAGCCAGAGGUUUAGCAUUUCUCCAUGAAGGAUCUGCUAUCAGGAUUGUUCACAGGGACAUCAAAGGUACAAAUGUAUUACUGGACAAAGAUCUAAAUGCCAAGAUAUCAGACUUCGGACUAGCUAAGCUCAAUGAAGAGGAGAACACUCAUAUUAGCACUCGAGUUGCUGGAACUAUGUAAGUUGUAUUGAGACUAAUUUAAUUCCUGAAUUUUAUUGAUAGUAAUACUCCUCAAGUCACUGAAGGGCACUAAUUCCGCAUUUUUAAAAAAUAUAUAUAUUUCAGAGGAUAUAUGGCUCCAGAAUAUGCACAAUGGGGCUAUCUAACAGAUAAAGCAGAUGUUUAUAGUUUUGGGGUUGUCGCCUUAGAAAUUGUCAGUGGAAAGAGCAACUCAAGUUACAGGCCAGAGAACGAAAAUGUUUGUCUUCUUGACUGGGUAAAUCAUCGUCAGUCUGUUUCUGUUGCUAUCCUGAAUUAAUGACGCGUGAGGCAUCAGUUCUCAAUGCAAAACAUGGUACAUUUGGUAAAAUAUCAUAGCUUCCUUCUUAUUUGUCUUUGAAAUUGUCGUCACAGGCCCAUGUAUUGCAAAAAAAGGAAAAUUUAAUGGAGAUAGUGGACCCAAAGCUGCAGUCUGAAUUCAACAAGGAAGAAGCUGAGAGGAUGAUCAAAGCGGCUCUCUUAUGCACCAAUGCUUCUCCAUCUAUAAGGCCCGCAAUGUCAGAAGUGGUGAGCAUGCUUGAAGGACAGACCUGCAUCCCGGAGGUGACCUCAGAUCCUAGCAUUUAUGAUGAUGAUGAUUUACACUCCAAACGUGUCAAAGGCCACUAUCAGCAGGUCACAGACCAGAGUUUAAACAGCACACAAGACCUCUUUCCUCCAUCUGAUAAAUCAUGGAUUGGAAAUUCCUCUACAUCUGCCCCUGAACUCUACCCCAUCAAUCCCGUUUCCAUAAGUUUAAACCUAGUGAAACCUCGUCUUUAAUUUGAAUAAAGCCAAAGACCAGAUCUUGGUAUGAUUAUGGAUUUAGACGUCUACACAACGUUUUGUUGCUUACCAUCCAUCUUGGUAUGAUUAUGGAUUUAUAUUUUAUAAUUCUAUAUAUGUAAACGGUCUCUUAAAGCUAUCUCCGUGGUUGUGAGAAUUGAGAGCCCAAGGCACUUUUUAAAUUUUGUUGCUUGUUUUUGUA